RNAcentral lists this long non-coding RNA (236 nucleotides) under Gallus gallus (chicken). The record is from RNAcentral. Lineage: Eukaryota; Metazoa; Chordata; Aves; Galliformes; Phasianidae.
GUCCCUUUUCCUACCAUUUUGCCAUCUUUUAAUAUUAGAAUCUGAGUUGCAGCGCGGAGAUAUUGCAACUGGUGAGUCACCAAAACACAGAUCUUCUGAUGUAAAGCCUGACAAAUGCACUUUUCAAACAAAUGUCUUCCAACUUCAGAAUCUACCGCACUCAGUGGAUCGUCCAAAAGAUAGAUAUCUGCAUCUUGAUAUACAGCUCUGGCCAGAUUCACACGGGCCUUCUGUCC